AUAAAAGCUAUGAUCGAAAGAGUAAUCAUAUCAAGAACCACAGAGAGAAUGGAAUAAAGCUGAGAGUCCAUUUGUUUUAUUGAUAGAUGAAGUGCAUUCGUGAGCUUUUCAAGUGAAAUAAUAUUAGCUUGAUACGGGCAUCGACCGUUAUAUCGAUAUCAAGUGGAAGCAAAGCUUCAACAAGAGUGGAACCGCGGAUAAACCGUCUCUUAU
Molecule: non-coding RNA, 213 nt
Filed under: Petrocella atlantisensis
Lineage: Bacteria; Bacillati; Bacillota; Clostridia; Lachnospirales; Vallitaleaceae
Description: T-box
Rfam family: T-box leader
About the family: Uncharged tRNA acts as the effector for transcription antitermination of genes in the T-box leader family. T-boxes are found upstream of many aminoacyl-tRNA synthetase genes and some amino acid biosynthetic genes usually in Gram-positive bacteria. The anticodon of a specific tRNA base pairs to a specifier sequence within the T-box motif, and the NCCA acceptor tail of the tRNA base pairs to a conserved bulge in the T-box antiterminator hairpin.
Source: RNAcentral